Molecule: ribosomal RNA, 406 nt
Filed under: uncultured bacterium
Lineage: Bacteria
Description: partial 16S ribosomal RNA
Rfam family: Bacterial small subunit ribosomal RNA
Source: RNAcentral
AUUGAACGCUGGCGGCAUGCUUUACACAUGCAAGUCGGACGAGUGGCGAACGGGUGAGUAACGCAUCGGAACGUACCGAGUAAUGGGGGAUAACUGUCCGAAAGGACAGCUAAUACCGCAUAUUAUUCGCUCGGCCGAUGUCAGAUUAGCUGGUUGGCGGGGUAAAGGCCCACCAAGGAGACGAUCAGUAGCGGGUCUGAGAGGAUGAGCGGCCACACUGGGUGUGAGGCACGGCCCCGACACCUGCGGGAGGCAGCAGUGGGGAAUUUUGGACGAUGGGCGCGAGCCUAAUCCAGCCAUGCGGCGUGUCUGAAGAAGGCCUUCGGGUUGUAAAAGAAUUUUGUCAGGGAAGCGGUACCUGAAGAAUAAGCACCGGCUAACUACGUGCCAGCAGCCGCGGUAAUAC